ACGUAGGUGGCAAGCGUUGUUCGGAAUUAUUGGGCGUAAAGGGCGCGUAGGCGGCCUUGUAAGUCAGUUGUGAAAGCCCGGGGCUCAACCCCGGAGGGUCGGCUGAUACUGCAAGGCUAGAGUACGGAAGAGGUAGCUGGAAUUCCCGGUGUGGCGGUGAAAUGCGUAGAUAUCGGGAGGAACACCUGAGGCGAAGGCGGGCUACUGGGCCGAUACUGACGCUGAUGCGCGAAGGCCAGGGGAGCGAACGGGA
Molecule: ribosomal RNA, 253 nt
Filed under: uncultured prokaryote
Description: partial 16S ribosomal RNA
Rfam family: Bacterial small subunit ribosomal RNA
Source: RNAcentral